UCAUCGACAUGGUACACUUUUACCCGAAUCAAUACGUUGUAUAAUUUGUGGACCUUCUGGUGGAGGAAAAACUAACAUAUUAUUGUCUUUAUUGUUUGAUCCCAACGGAUUGAAAUUUGAAAACAUAUAUAUUUAUUGUAAAUCAUUAUAUCAACCGAAAUAUAAACUGCUUAGUGAUGUGCUACAAAAAAUUAAAGGAAUGGAAUAUAACCAGUAUGAACAUAAUGAAGACGUGCUAGAUCCAAAAGAUGCAAAAAAUAACUCCAUUUUUAUAUUUGAUGAUGUCAUAAUGUGUAAUCAAGCUAAGAUAAGGGAUUACUUUUGCAUGGGCCGGCAUAAAAAUAUUGAUAGUUUCUAUCUCUGUCAAACAUAUACAAAAAUACCGAAACAUUUAAUUCGAGAUAAUGCAAAUUUAUUGGUAAUAUUAAAACAAGAUCUGUUAAAUUUAAAACAUGUAUAUGAAGAUCAUGUUGGUGCUGAUAUGAAAUUCGAACAAUUCUGUGAAAUAUGUCAGGAAUGUUGGAAAAACCAAUAUGGUUUUUUGGUUAUAUGUAAAGAUAAUGAAUUAAAUAAGGGUCGAUAUAGAAAAGGGUUUGAUCAUUUUAUUCAAGUGUAGAUUGAUAUCUAUUUGACAACGUUUCCAGACCGGUUAAUAUCGGUCUCAGACCGGUUAGUAUCGGUGUGAUAUCGGUUAAUACCGGUUCCAGAGCGGUUAUUAUCGGAUAGAGACCGGUUAAUAUCGGUUUCAGACCGGUUAAUGUCUGUUAAAAAGCAGUUCCUGAUCGGUUUGAGAUCGGUUAAUAUCAGUUUGAGACCCGUUAUAAUAGCAGUAGAAUAAGAAGUUAUAUAAACAAUAAUUCUGAUUUGUUCGGUUAGUUUAUAACAUUAAGCGGUAAUGAUGGGUACCAAACCAGAUCAAAACCUUAAAAGACAUAUAUUAAAAGCAGCUGAUUCAAUUCGAAAGAAGUAUAAAGCCAUAAAGUUAAACAGCAGUGAAGCGGAUGAGUCAAUUAAAAAACUUUUUCAGCCUGUUAUAAAUCCUUUAGAAGAAAUUUCAAUAAAAUUGGAGAAGCAAUCUCCACCACCACAGCAACAACAACAAAAACAACACAAAAGACCAAAACAUCAUAUUCAAAAGCAAAGGAAACAAUUUCUUAAAUUACCAAAAAAAGAAAAGAUUAAACAAGAACUUGAACUACCAGUUGAAGAAACAUAUGAACCUAGUACAUCACUACGACAACCAGAAGAAAUAUAUGAGUCAAUACCAGAAAUAAAAGAAGAAGAUGAAGAAACCAAAUCUGACACUAUGGAUGAUUUAAUUAAUAGCAGACAUAUUUUAGAUGAAUUUUUAGAACAAUAUCCUCCAGUUGCGAGAAAUGCAAUAGAAGCAGUUUUAGAGAAAACCAGUGAUCAGACAUUUGGUCCUAGAUAUAAUUCAAAAGAGAAUAAACUAUUUAUGGGUAAACAUGAAUUAAUAAUCAGUCAAAAUGGUGAUUUAAUUUUAGAUAAUGAAUCAUUUCCUGGUACUCCUGGUUUAUACAGACUAAUAUUUUUUAAAAACCCUGAAGAUAAAUACACUCAAAUUACAAAAGAGGAUCGGUCAGCAUACAAAAAAAUACUUGAAAUUUCUAAUACACAUAGAAAAAAUAAUGAUCCCACAAAACAACUAAAAGGUCAUAGAGGUGUAAAAUAUACUCAAAUUGUGCAACCAAUGUUUACUUCAUUUCCUAAAUCUCCGUUUAUUGGUGAAGGAUUAUUCACUAAUAAACGUGUAGAAUAUGUUUACUGGGAUGACAUAAAUGAAUUAGUGUCACGUCUAGCAUUAUUACAUGCAGCGACAAAAGCGGGUAACAAUUCCCAUCUGAAUGAAAUUUUAUCAAUAGAAGAAGAAUUAAAGGAAUGUGGUGUAAUAUAUUAGGUUUAAGUUUUUUUCUGGUUAAUCCUCAGUGUUGAAAUGCCCAUUGAUCUAUUCGGACGUAAAGUGUUAUCAGCAUCAAGUGCAUUUUUUAAAUCUACACCAUCACCAUUUGUUUUCACUGCUGAUGGUGACCUUGAUUUAAAACAUCAUAGAAUCUGUAACAUUAAUGAUCCAACAGAAGACAAAGAUUGUGCGAAUAAGGUAUAUAUUGAUUUAGUAAGUAAACAAAUAUACCAAAAGAUGGAAGGAGUAAUAGCUGCUUUAACGGAUUUAAAUAAUAAUGUUCAUAAAGCAGAUGCUAUAUGGAUGGAUAAAUUUAAUCAGUUAAACUUAACCAUGAAUGUUAAGUACAAAAUACUUGAUGGAAAAAUUGAUAAUAUAAUUGCUACAAUUCCUCACACGAUUCAAUCAGAAUUGCAUAACAAACAUUUAAGUAUAAAUUAUGAAAUCGAUAAGAAGUGGAAAAAAUUUAUGAAUAAUUCAAAUGAGAUAACCAAACGAAUAAAAAAACUUGAAGAACGCUUUGAAGGAAUCGAUAGUAUUAAGAUAAUACCAGAAACCAUUUCCAAACGUUCUAAAGCAGGUGAUACAGAUCAACUUGAGAAUGUACCUAUAUCAAAGAAAAGGAAAGUAACAGAUUCAUAUGAAAAUAGUGAAGAAGAAGGUCCAAAGAUAGAACCCAUGCCUCAUAAUAAAAACAAGUGUCCUCCAGGUCAAAUGUCAGAUCGUCAUGGAAAUUGUAGAGAAGUGUACCGUAAAUAAGCAAUGGUUCGACUAAAGCAAGUUAGUGAUGUAAAGCAAAAAUUGGUAAACGAGAUAUUUAAACCUGCACGCAAGAAUUUUAAACGAAGACGUACUAUAAUUAAAGGAUUGGAUGAUUUAUGGCAAGUAGAUUUAGCAGAAAUGCAAAAUUUAUCUUAUCAUAAUAAUGGAUUUAAAUAUAUUUUAGUCGUAAUCGACUGUUUUUCUAAAUUUUUAUGGACCAGACCACUGAAAUCGAAAUCAGCUAAUGAGGUUAGCAGAGCUAUGGAAUCAAUACUAAAGAAUGAAAAAGAACGAAUACCAAAGAAUUUACAGUCAGAUCAAGGAAAGGAAUUUUAUAAUACCACUUUUCAGGAUUUGAUGAGACGUUAUAAUAUUAAUCACUAUAGUACGUACAGCGUUAAAAAAGCAGCAAUUGCUGAACGAGUUAUACGUACUUUAAAAUCAAAAAUUUAUCGAUAUUUUACGUUAUUUGCGACACAUAAAUGGAUAAAUAAAUUGCAAGAGAUAACCAAAAAUUAUAAUACUACAAUACAUCGAACAACAGGAAGGAAACCCACAGAGAUAAACGCUUCGAAUCAAGGAGACAUAACAGCAUAUGAUCAUCUAAAGAUUGUUGAUAAAAACAGAAAAAAAUUUAAAGUCGGAGAUUUCGUAAGAAUUAGCAAAGAAAAGAUGUUAUUUGAAAAAGGAUAUACACCCAAUUGGUCAACGGAAAUUUUUAAAAUCAGUAAGAUUAAUCUAACCAAUCCUGUAACAUUUCUACUAGAAGAUAAAGAAGGUCAACCAAUCAAAGGAGCUUUUUAUAUUUGGGAAUUAUCAAAAACUCAAUAUCCUGACGUCUAUUUAGUUGAAAAGGUGAUUCGACGUAAAGGAACUAAAUUAUUUGUGAAAUGGUUAGGUUUACCAGAUAAUCAGAAUAGUUGGAUUGAAAUGAAAGAUAUUACCUAAUAAAUAAGAAAUAUAUAUAUAUAUAUAUAUAUAUAUAUAUAUAUAUAUACAAUAUAAUUAUUUAACGUCUAAUUUAGUUCCAUUUAAGAUGGCAACGAGUGUAGAACCUGUUAUAAAAAAAGUGCUGCAUUUUGAAAAAACCAUAAGCGAUAUUCGAUUACUAAUGAAACUGGAACUACUGAAAUUAGGACCGUGCCAGUUGAUGGAUAUAUUUCAUAAAUUACCGGAAACAUAUCAACAAGAUCAUGAUAUAAAGCUGAAUCUACCAUGUUUACAACAUUAUUAUAACAGUUUUGACGAAGAUCAGUUUGAUGGUCCUCCUUCAUCAAUAAAUAAUUGUGUUUUGUGUAUUUUAGAUGAUACAGGAAGCCAACAACAACAACAACAACAACAACAACAACAACAACAACAACAACAACAACAACCCACUGCGUUUCAAGUGUAAUGCCUCUUUUGAACUCAUCACUCAUCUUAUUUGUUACUCUUAUACAAAAUGUGUUGUAUGUGCAAAAACCGCUAGAUGUUGUAGAUAUGUACAUCGUCUUCACUAGUGAAAGUCCUAACAACACAAGAUGGUCUCCUCUCUGGAAAAGUUUAUUUUUCAACGAUGUUGAUUACCAAUGGAAGAAGAUGAAUCUGGGUUAUUUGAGCAAUACUGCAAUAGAAAUAUUUAAAUAUGAAAAUGUUUCUACAGCAAACUCUGUAAUAUAUUUUAAAUUAAGACUAGUUUUUACCAAUAGUAAUUAUAUUGAUACUGAUUGGAAGAGACUUAUACUUAAUGAUCAUGAUGUAGUUUCAAUAAAAAAUUGUUUUAAUCAUGUUCCUACCUUUUUAGCAAUGUUUGGAAUUGUUUGUACAUGUUGGAUCGUUUUUAUGAUGUUCAUAGCGUUAGGUUUGGCUUAAAAACUGCAAUUAAAAAUUUAUUUAGGUGUAUGACUUUGUUAGUUUAAGUAUGUAGUUUGUUUUAUGUCUAAUAAAAAAUAAUAUUCAUUCUGAUUAUUUUUGUUAUCAUAUUUCCUGUCUAACGUUUUUUCCUUAAAAACGUUAAAUUUUUAUCAGUUAUAUUUCGAAUUUUUUGAAUUUUUACGUAAGAAACCACAAUAUCCGGUUGCAAAGUUUAUAGAAUAUAAAAUCAUAUCGCAUCAAUGAUUAAUUCAUUUCUACUUCGACUGUACGUGUAUGAAAGUAAUCAACCAAUCAUGUUCAAGUGCUCUCAAUGCGAUAACAAGUUUACUCGCAAAGAUGCUUUAACACGUCAUGUAAAAAAACAUAGUGAUAAAUUAUCUAAACUCACUUGCACCGGAUGUAAAACGUCAUUUACGAGAUUUGAUAACUAUAAGCGUCAUAUUACAAAUUCAUCAUUGUGUUCAAUGGAUUCGGAUGAUAUGACUCCUAAAAAAGCCCGCCUGACAACUAGAACACCUUUACAAGAAGUUACUACUAACGCUCCAUCAUGUUCAUUUCAUCAAUUUUGUGAAAUAUGCAAUAAUCACUACAGAGGAUCCAGAUUAAACCAUUUACGUUCUUUAAAACAUAAAAGUGUCAUCUCCGCCAAAAUUAAUGAUGAUGAUGAUUUCGUUGAAGAAUAUCAAGUUGCCUUCAAAUCAAGAAUUACCUCAUACCGAUUGAAAAAUUCACAACUAGAUGACUUGGAAGUGUGCAAUUUUUUUGAAAGAAAUCAAGAUAAACUUAUCACUUUAAUAACUAGAAAACUGAGAGAAUUUAACCAACUUAAAAUUAAUUUCGAACUUUUUGCUAAAUAUAUUUUACCUUCUAAAGACAUUAUCGAAAUCAAAUCAUUCAACACUAAAAAUAUCAUCAUUUCAAUAUCGACAAAUAUUAAGGUAGAACUGGAAGAAAUAUGUGGCGUCAUAAAAAACAAAAUGAGUGAAUUCUUGGAAAAAGAUAGUGGUUGGAUUUUAAUGGAAAUUUUGUUUUUGGAACUUAAUAUCAACAAAUUCAAUCCACUACGUGCAUCAACAUAUAUACCAUUACCGAAGGACAUAGUGAAGCGGAGAGCGGUUAUCAAUAUUCAUAAUGAUGAUAAUGAAUGUUUCAAAUGGUCUGUUUUGGCACACCUUCAUUCAACUGAAGUAAAUGUUAAUCGACAUCGAGUUGAUGCUUAUCGUGAGUUUGAAGAGGAAUUAGAUUUUACAGAUAUUUCAUUUCCGGUUAAAUUAACUGAUAUUUUUAAAUUUGAAGCACUUAAUAAUAUUAGUGUAAAUGUCUAUGGAACAGAGCAGCGUUUUGAUCAUGAAAAAGGUAAAUGGGUAUCAGAUAUUAUAGGUCCCUUUUAUUUAACUUCUAAGGAACGAGACAUUCAUGUAAAUUUAUUACUUAUCGUAGACGAUGAAAGAAUGAUCAAACAUUACUGUCUGAUAAGCAACAUUUCUCGAUUAAUAAGUUCACAACUUUCCAAACAUAAUCAUGCUAAAUUUAUAUGUAACGGUUGUCUAUUAUUUUUUUCGAGUGAACAAAAAUUAGUUAAACAUCGUAAGUAUGCUUGUAAUGAAGUUGUCACUACAUUACCAACUUCUGAUCUGAUUAUAAAUAAAUUUGGUAAAGAAGUGCCUGGUAAUGAAUUAACAUUUCAAAAUUUUGAUAAAUCUCUUAAAGUUCCUUUUGUAUUUUAUUUCGAUUUUGAAUCUAUUUUAAAACCUUUACGCAAUGAUAAUUCAGCCGAUAAUAUCCGUACAAUUGUUACACAUUUACAUGAACCAUAUAGUUUCGGAUAUUACAUAAAAUGUGCAUAUAAUGAUAAUUUAUCAAUAUAUCGGACUUAUCGAGGAAAAGAUGCUCCUGAAAUUUUUGUGAAAUGGUUGCAAGAUGAUGUAAAUAGACUUUAUCACGAUCACCUCAAACAUAUCGUACCACUUGAAAUGACUCCGUUAGAUGAAUUGGUUUUUCAAAUAUCUACCCAUUGUCAUUUAUGUAAAGAACCUUUCAAAACAGAUUACGGAAGUCUAAAUUGUGAUAGAGUUCGUAAUCAUUGUCACUUAACAGGUGAAUUUUUAGGACCUGCCCAUUCUAUUUGUAAUUUAAAUUAUAAGAUUCCAAAAUAUAUCCCUGUUUUUUGUCAUAAUUUAACUAAUUAUGAUAGUCAUUUAUUUAUUAAAGCUUUAGCAACAGAAAAGACCAUCAUUAAUUGCAUUGCUCAAACUAAAGAAAAGUAUAUUACAUUUUCAAAAAAAAUUUUAGUUGAUAAGGUCAUGAACACGACUACAAAUACAGUUGACAAUAUUUUUAUAACGCUUAGAUUCGUAGAUUCGUUCCGUUUCCUUUCUUUUUCAUUAGAUAAAUUAUCUCAGACUUUAACUUCUGAUGAAUGUCUAACCAUUCGGAAACACUUUUCGGACGAUAACCAAUUUAAUUUGAUAAGACAAAAAGGUGUUUUUCCAUAUUCAUAUUUGGAUUGUUUUAAUAAGUUAGAUGAUACCAAUUUACCAUUGAUUCAACAAUUUUAUGAUAAUCUUAAUAAAACUGAUAUCAGUGAACAUGAUUAUGAGCGAGCACAGGAAGUCUGGAAUCUAUUUGAUUGCAAAACGUUAGGUGAUUAUUCCAACAUUUAUUUAAAGUCUGAUGUUUUGUUACUUACAGACAUUUUUGAAAAUUUCAGAAAGGUUUGUCUCAAAAUUUAUGAACUAGAUCCAGCUCAUUACUUAACAGCACCUUCAUUAGGCUGGGAUGCUAUGUUAAAAAUGACUGGAAUUAAAUUCGAAUUGUUAACUGAUAUAGACAUGGUACAUUUCUUUCGAAAAUCUAUUAGAGGAGGACUUUGUCAAUGUUCAAAACGUAAAGCAGUAGCAAAUAAUAAGUUUUUAUCAAAUCAUGAUCCUUCUAAACCAACUUCUUUUAUAAUGUACCUUGAUGCAACCAACUUGUAUGGAGCAGCAAUGUCUGAAUAUUUACCUUAUAGCGGUUUUCGAUGGGAAGAUCCUAAUGAAUUCAAUGAUAACCUAAUUCUCAAUUUGACAGAUAACGCUGAUGUAGGUUAUAUAUUCGAAGUUGAUUUAGAAUAUCCUUCUGAAUUACAUAAUCUUCACAACGAUUUACCAUUUUGUCCUGAAAAAUUUAUUCCUCCCUCUAGUAAAACUGAGAAACUUUGCGCAACCUUAAACAAUAAAGUACACUAUGUUUUACAUUAUCGAAAUUUAAGACAAGCUAUACAAGGUGGUUUAAAAUUAAUUAAUAUUCACCGUGUUUUAAGUUUUAAUCAAUCACCAUGGUUGAAAACAUAUAUUGAUUUAAAUACAGAAAUGCGUAACAAAUCAAAAAACGCGUUAGAAAAAGAUGUAUUUAAAUUAAUGAAUAAUUCAGUUUUUGGUAAAACCAUGGAAUCAAUUGAUAAAAGAGUAAACGUGAAAUUGGUAACAUCAUGGAAUAAUAUAGGUAGAAAACCAGGUGCUGAAAGUUUAAUUGCACGACCAAAUUUUAAAAAUUCAUCUAUCUUUACACCAAAUUUUGUAGCUAUUCAAUUAGAGAACGAAAAAGUUUUCUACAAUAAACCUCUGUAUGUAGGUUUUACUAUUCUAGAUAUCAGUAAAACUAUUAUGUAUGAUUUUUAUUAUAAUUUCAUAAAACUUAAAUACGGUAACAAUGCAACGCUUUUGUAUACCGAUACUGAUAGUUUAGUAAUUGAAAUUUUUUGUGAAAAUAUUUAUGAUGAUAUUAAAUCUAAUAUAGAGCGUUUUGAUACUUCAAAUUAUAAAGCAGAAAAUAUUCAUGGAAUACCUGUAUCGUCUUCUGUCAUCGGGAAGAUGAAAGAUGAAUAUAAAGGACGUGUAAUAUCAGAAUUUUUAGGAACAGGUGCUAAAGCAUAUUGUGUGGAUGUUGAAGGUGAAUUAUCUAAAAAAGCUAAGGGUAUUAAACACAAUGUAAUUACAAGUGAAUUACAUAAAAUUGACUACCAAAACGCAGUUACUGUUCCAAACACUGAAAUUAUUAAAGAAAUGAAUAUCUUUCGUUCGAAGCUUCAUAACAUUUACACAGAAUUAAAGAAAAAAAUUGCUUUAUCUUUCAAAGAUGAUAAACGUUACAUCUUAAACAAUUCUGAAGGUAGAACAUUAUCUUGGGGUCAUAAAAAUAUUCCUCCUCAAACUCAGGAAUAAUAUUUAAUUUGUAUUGUAGUUAUUGUAUUAUAAUGUUUAUGUAUUAUAAUAUGUAUGUAUGUAUGUAUGCAUGUACUUAUAUUUAGAUGUAAUAAACAAUUAAAGUAAUUUAUUGUUUUUAUUAUUAUCCAUUAACCAAAUAGCUUAUGUAAAUU
This is a long non-coding RNA of Tribolium castaneum (red flour beetle), 8894 nucleotides long. RefSeq lists it as uncharacterized. Lineage: Eukaryota; Metazoa; Arthropoda; Insecta; Coleoptera; Tenebrionidae. The record is from RefSeq and is a predicted model, not a curated record. The transcript is spliced from 4 exons.